This 501-nucleotide ribosomal RNA is filed under the name uncultured bacterium. RNAcentral describes it as "partial 16S ribosomal RNA". It matches the Rfam family "Bacterial small subunit ribosomal RNA", at positions 30 to 523 of the family's 1533-position model. The record is from RNAcentral.
AUUGAACGCUGGCGGCAGGCUUAACACAUGCAAGUCGAGCGGGGAAGAGUAGCUUGCUACUUAACCUAGCGGCGGACGGGUGAGUAAUGCUUAGGAAUCUGCCUAUUAGUGGGGGACAACAUCUCGAAAGGGAUGCUAAUACCGCAUACGUCCUACGGGAGAAAGCAGGGGACCUUCGGGCCUUGCGCUAAUAGAUGAGCCUAAGUCGGAUUAGCUAGUUGGUGGGGUAAAGGCCUACCAAGGCGACGAUCUGUAGCGGGUCUGAGAGGAUGAUCCGCCACACUGGGACUGAGACACGGCCCAGACUCCUACGGGAGGCAGCAGUGGGGAAUAUUGGACAAUGGGGGGAACCCUGAUCCAGCCAUGCCGCGUGUGUGAAGAAGGCCUUUUGGUUGUAAAGCACUUUAAGCGAGGAGGAGGCUACCGAGAUUAAUACUCUUGGAUAGUGGACGUUACUCGCAGAAUAAGCACCGGCUAACUCUGUGCCAGCCGCCGCGGUAA